Molecule: ribosomal RNA, 437 nt
Filed under: uncultured bacterium
Lineage: Bacteria
Description: bacterial SSU rRNA
Rfam family: Bacterial small subunit ribosomal RNA
Source: RNAcentral
ACGAACGCUGGCGGCGUGCCUAACACACGCAAGUCGAGCGGAAUAGUAGCAAUACUAUUUAGCGGCGGACGGGUGAGUAACACGUGGGCAACCUGCCUUAUACAGGGGGAUAGCCACCCGAAAGGGUGAUUAAUACCGCAUAAAACUGAGUUAUCACAUGAUAGUUCAGUCAAAGGAGAAAUCCGGUAUAAGAUGGGCCCGCGUCCCAUUAGAUAGUUGGUGAGGUAACGGCUCACCGAGUCUACGAUGGGUAGCCGAUCUGAGAGGAUGAACGGCCACAUUGGAACUGAGACACGGUCCAGACUCCUACGGGAGGCAGCAGUGGGGAAUAUUGCGCAAUGGGGGAAACCCUGACGCAGCAACGCCGCGUGAGCGAUGAAGGCCUUCGGGUCGUAAAGCUCUGUCUUUGGGGACGAUAAUGACGGUACCCAAGGAGG